AGGACUGUAGUUUCAGAAGUCAUUUCUGUAGCUGGUCACUAGAGGAGAGUGAUCACACCUAUAUGACAUCAGAAGCCAUGAGGAGGAGCGGGGUGCUCACUCCUGAAUGCCAAGUGAGUGGGCAGCGCUGCCUGGGCAGGAGCUGCUUGCCAUUGAUGGCUGUUCCUGCCCCUCGGGGUGCUGGGAGGGAGAGAGCAUGAGUGGAGUGGU
RNAcentral lists this small nucleolar RNA (210 nucleotides) under Leptosomus discolor (cuckoo roller). RNAcentral's name for it is "Small nucleolar RNA U3". It matches the Rfam family "Small nucleolar RNA U3". Rfam says of the family: Small nucleolar RNAs (snoRNAs) are involved in the processing and modification of rRNA in the nucleolus. There are two main classes of snoRNAs: the box C/D class, and the box H/ACA class. Lineage: Eukaryota; Metazoa; Chordata; Aves; Leptosomiformes; Leptosomidae. The record is from Rfam by way of RNAcentral.